UCCAGACUCCUACGGGAGGCAGCAGUCGAGAAUCAUUCACAAUGGGGGGAACCCUGAUGCAGCGACGCCGCGUGAGUGAAGAAGUAUUUCGGUAUGUAAAGCUCUCUCAGCAGGGAAGAAAAUGACGGUACCUGACUAAGAAGCCCCGGCUAAAUACGUGCCAGCAGCCGCGGUAAUACGUAUGGGGCAAGCGUUAUCCGGAUUUACUGGGUGUAAAGGGAGCGCAGGCGGCUUGGCAAGUCUGAUGUGAAAGGCUGGGGCUCAACCCCAGGACUGCAUUGGAAACUGUUAGGCUGGAGUGUCGGAGAGGUAAGCGGAAUUCCUGGUGUAGCGGUGAAAUGCGUAGAUAUUAGGAGGAACACCAGUGGCGAAGGCGGCUUACUGGACUGUAACUGACGUUGAGGCUCGAAAGCGUGGGGAGCAAACAGGAUUAGAUACCCUGGUAC
RNAcentral lists this ribosomal RNA (446 nucleotides) under uncultured bacterium. RNAcentral's name for it is "bacterial SSU rRNA". It matches the Rfam family "Bacterial small subunit ribosomal RNA", at positions 330 to 793 of the family's 1533-position model. The record is from RNAcentral.